AUCCUGAAGAAGGUAGAAAUGAACAGGGCCCUCCGAGGCCUCGCUUGACCUCCAUCUUGGAGAAGAUGCCCAAGGAACUUCCCCGAGGAUCGCCCAGGCCAAGCUUGUGAAAGCCGGCCAUCACAUCUCCCCCAGCGUUGUUGCAUGCCAGGUGGACUGGGGAGCUGCUACGGAGAGCGUUCCUAGGUUCCAGAGACGGCCUUCACUUCUGGAAGGUAAUUUUCUGCCAUUUUUUUCUGUCACAUAUUAUCGUAAUGUUUAAGCGUGGUUAAAAAUUGUGAGGUGACUGGAGUGGGGAUCCAGAAACUUAACAGAAAGGAGAGACGUGUGGAGGUCCCUGAGUUC
This is a long non-coding RNA of Trichechus manatus latirostris (Florida manatee), 345 nucleotides long. RefSeq lists it as uncharacterized. The transcript has 3 exons. NCBI's taxonomy places the organism in Eukaryota, Metazoa, Chordata, Mammalia, Sirenia, Trichechidae. The record is from RefSeq and is a predicted model, not a curated record.